Meleagris gallopavo (turkey) is the source of this 2774-nucleotide non-coding RNA. The record is from RefSeq and is a predicted model, not a curated record. Lineage: Eukaryota; Metazoa; Chordata; Aves; Galliformes; Phasianidae.
GUGACCUAACUAAGCAAAUUUUUCUCAACAGGUCAGUCCCUGCACUGGCUUGAUGGCUCAUCAGUUAAUUACGCCAACUGGGAUAACAGAACCGCAGAACUCAGUGAAAAAUGCAGUGUUAUCGUGUCCACAACUGGCAAGUGGUCCAAAGUUGACUGCACUCGUAGUCAAAGCAGAGUGGUUUGCAAAGCUCCUUUAGGUUCUAAUCACACUGGGGUGGCUGUAGCUUUUGCCCUGCUAAUUAUCUUAGUCCUUGUUGUUGGAUUAGUGUGGUUUAUCUGUAAAAAGAAGCGUCUUCACUGGAGUGCCUUCUCUUCAGUACGUUAUCAAAGAGGGAUAAAUGAUGAUGAAGCUGAUGAUGUGUUCACAAAAGAUGGCUAUUGAAAAGAACUGUUCCUUCUAGGCAAUUUAGCAUGAACUUCACUGUGUGAAGCCGUAAGGACUGAAUUACUUGAUGUUUUGUUACUUCUUUUUGAAAAAGUAAUAAGGUUAUUAAUAGGGGCUGAGUUUUGUUCCUUUUUACAAGUGUGCAAUUUUUAUUCGAGCCCACGGUAAUUAUUUACAUUUGGCCUCAGUUGUUUAAGGUACAAGAUUUUUGGAGUUGUGUAAUGUAUUUUAGAGUAUUAUUUUCCAUCUAUUUACUGGAAAAUGUUUUUAAUUAAAUAAUUAAUGACAACUUACUUCACGCAAUGUCACCUUAUUGAAUGCAUGUAAAGUAGCCUCAUGAAUUCUCUAACUUUGUACAAUUUUCACUCAGUAACUUCAGGCCAAUUAUGUGCCAUUUUGAUGUGUUAAGGAUUCUGCUGCUAGCGUUGGAUUAUCUAGCUAGAACAGAGAGGAUAAAUGCUUGGUGUAGCAACUUUUGUGGCAAGCUGUUAUAAAUUUUUAUAUAGUAGGAGAAAAAGGAGUUAUCAGACAGCAAAUUUAAAUUUCUAGAAGGAAGAUAAUGUUGUUACUUUCUCUCCCAAAUUAAUAAUAAUAAUUAAAAAGCUAUACUGGUGAGAUAAGAAUGUUGGAAUGCAGAGAAUUACGGAAAAUAUCCUGCACUAAAGCUGUGCCACUUAUGAGUAAGUUUAUUAAUAAACGUAAAAUAUUUUAUAUUUGAGACUGUGACAAGCUGGCAGAUCGCUAAUCAUGGCACAGCUAUCAGAACUACCCAGUAAGGGCUGACUAUAAGUACAAGUAAAACUCAAGACAGUAAGAGCCUCAGCCUUGUGAAAGCAGAAGCAUGAAUGUUGUGUUUUAUCCUGUGAUAUAAUUGUUAAAUAAAUCAUUCAGUUUCUUUUCACAGCACCACAGCACCUUCAACAAAGGUUUAGAAGCACAAAUAGCAGAAAUGUUUACAGGGAAAAUCAUUAUCUAGGCAUAAGCAUAAAAAAUUAAAACAUUUUUAAAAUGCACUUAGAGUAGCAUUUAGAGGAAGAAUUAUUCCAGUCUAUCCCAUGGCUUCACACUCCUCUGAAAUUAGACCUGUGUGACUUUCUUCUGGAUAAAACAGAAAAGACCUCCAUUUUAUAAUAUGUUGCAGCGUGACAUCUGAGGACAGGAGUGUUACAGUGCUUUACGUUCUUUAAUGAGAUCCUUCUGACAUUUUACCUCCAGUAAUACUGUUGGUUUUUAUUAUGGGUAAAUGCUUAACUAUAUGAAGCGGAAUAUCUGUUAUCUGUUCAAGAAAUAACAAAGAUAUAUCUAAGAAAGGAAUGAGGAAGAAUAUAUGGUAAAUUAAGUUGUGUAUGUAAAUGCUAAAAAUACUUGAGUAUUUUACAUAAAACUUAAACUUGAUUUUUGUAUGAUGUGAUCUAUGCACUCCAAAGAAAGUUAUAAAGGGAAAAAGGGAAGACAGCUUUGUACAUAUUCUAAUGAUUUGAUCAGUGUUUUGAAGAAGUUGUUAGAUUUCUUCAGAGCACAAUACGAAGAACAGAUGUUUACUUUUAUGAAGGUAUAUAUGCAAAAGAUGAAAUCCAUUCCUUGUGUAGUAAUAAUGGUGUGAUAUGAUAAAUAGGUCUAACAUGCUGAAAAGUGUACUACUGAUUUCUCUGGAGCAACAUUGUGAGGUUAUAAUGUUCAACUGCCUUAUUUCCCUGCAGUUUACUGAAAUUGACAGCACUUUCCUUUGUACCUAUUUGCACUAUUUUGAUAAGCAGGUGUUUAUCAUCUGUAUUGAUAAUAGAGAAUCUCUUGUAGAUAUCACUUCAGUACCUGUUGAACUAGCAGAGUGAAGGAGCAUAGCCAAAGAAACGUCCUGUUAGUUUGCUGAUAAAGAAGCAAGCACUUUUGUUGUUUAUUUGGUACUUGAGCACAAUUGUGAAAGAAAGUCUUCUUUCUUGAUGGUAGUUGCUUUGCUGAAUGACUUCUAAAUUAAUGGAAAAAAAAAAAAAGUGUUGUUCAUUGUCCUUUUCUCACAACAAUAAGUGGGAAAAUAUUUCGAAAUUUCUGUUUUGAGAUUUACUAGUUUUACAGGUGUUUAUAUACUUUGAACGUUUUCAGUUGUGAAGCUGAAGUUGAAAGCGAAAAUUAGUGAAAAAAUCCUAGCUAUCCAAAAUAUAAAUAUAUACUUUUUAUAAUUGACAUAAGUGUAUAUUUUAUUCUUAUGAAUGAUGUAAAUAAUUUUGUAAGGCCCCUUUUCUAUGUUUGUUUCAUCAUACCAAGUUGUCUCAUCACUGGCAAUUCUCAUUUGAACAAGCGCAGCUGCCUUAGUGCAGGUGAAUAACCCACCUCACUUGACAUACGCAGCAAGAUUAUUACUGAAAGAAUAAAACUAAUAAAACACUAAA